This 431-nucleotide ribosomal RNA is filed under the name Listeria monocytogenes. RNAcentral describes it as "bacterial SSU rRNA". It matches the Rfam family "Bacterial small subunit ribosomal RNA", at positions 1 to 420 of the family's 1533-position model. The record is from RNAcentral. Lineage: Bacteria; Bacillati; Bacillota; Bacilli; Caryophanales; Listeriaceae.
UUUAAAGAGAGUUUGAUCCUGGCUCAGGACGAACGCUGGCGGCGUGCCUAAUACAUGCAAGUCGAACGAACGGAGGAAGAGCUUGCUCUUCCAAAGUUAGUGGCGGACGGGUGAGUAACACGUGGGCAACCUGCCUGUAAGUUGGGGAUAACUCCGGGAAACCGGGGCUAAUACCGAAUGAUAAAGUUUGGCGCAUGCCACGCUUUUGAAAGAUGGUUUCGGCUAUCGCUUACAGAUGGGCCCGCGGUGCAUUAGCUAGUUGGUAGGGUAAUGGCCUACCAAGGCAACGAUGCAUAGCCGACCUGAGAGGGUGAUCGGCCACACUGGGACUGAGACACGGCCCAGACUCCUACGGGAGGCAGCAGUAGGGAAUCUUCCGCAAUGGACGAAAGUCUGACGGAGCAACGCCGCGUGUAUGAAGAAGGUUUUCG